RNAcentral lists this long non-coding RNA (2427 nucleotides) under Sus scrofa (pig). RNAcentral describes it as "lncRNA (ENSSSCG00015005381.1)". Lineage: Eukaryota; Metazoa; Chordata; Mammalia; Artiodactyla; Suidae. The record is from RNAcentral.
AACGGAACAAAAUGAAAAUAAGGUACUUGUCAUUUUAAGUUUCCGGAAUUAUGUUAGUAGAUGAAAAGUUCAGAAAAUGUGUUACCAAGGGAAAAGUGAGUUAGUGGAAACUGGUAUCUCUUAAUUCCCCUUAGAUUAAUGGGAAUUUAUAUGCCUAUAUAAAUAUAUGGGUAAAUUUAUAUCAAUGUAUAUAUUACCUUUAUAUAUUUCAUCUGUAUUAAGAUAUAUAUUCUCACAUAAUGGGACAUAUAAUGGAAAUAUGUGUAUAAACACCAGUAUUUCUAAUUUAAUUCUCAUUAGAUUAAUGGGAAUUUAUACUCAGAUAUUCAUAGAGCAGGAAUUUUUAUGGUGGGAGUAUUAAAUUAUAAACUGUAGCAUUGAAUUUUAUGGAUUCAGGAUUUAUGAUCAUUCAAACUUUUCAACGAAAUUGAUGGUUUGGUUGGAUACAAUAGCAUAAAGUUCAAAUUGAGGUUUAACAAUAUAAUGUGUUGUUGAAAGCAUUUUCUAAUUUUCACGUUAAGUUUGUUUCCAGAGUAUAAAUAUAAAAGAGUUUACAAGGAAUUUAUUGAUUCUGAAUUUUCAAAUAAGGGGCUAUGUUCUUGAUAAACUUCAUUUUAUUGAUUGCUUUCUAUUUUGAUUACAAUUACCAUGUAAUUUCCAAGGCUUCCUUUUGCUGUAGGGCAUGUGUGUGUGUGUGUGUGUGUGUGUUGUGUUGGUGUGUAUGUGUGUGUGCCAGUGGUAGUUAUUUUAAAGGAUGCUGUAUGAUGUAAAGUACCUGAUGGAUAACAGAAACUUCAUCUAAACUAGUUAUUUAAAAAUUACAGGAUAUUCUCAUCCUCAAGAUGCUGUAGAUGUUUGUUUGUUUGUUUGUUUGUUUUUUUGGGUUUUUUUUGCUGCACCUACCACAUAUGAAAGUUUCUGGGCCAGUGAUUGAACCCAUGCCACAGCAGUGACAACUACAGAAAUGCUGGAUCCUUAACCUGCUGCCCACCUAGAGAACUCCACAUUUUAGUUCUUUCCCAUUACGGAUUUUCUGAAACAGAGUGCACUCAAACUCAGAUUAUAUUUGUACGUGGGAGUCUCCAGUGUUAUGUAAUGUUGACAUGAACUUCUUAGGGUUCAAAUAUUAUGAAGCACAGAUUCAGGCCAAACUAUACUCUUUUAACAUAAUAGAGUUUAAUUGACUUAGUUUAUAGGUCCAACCUAUUGUCAGUUUCCUAUUAUUUACGAAGAUAUCUGUGUGCCUUACAAAAACAGAGCUAGAGGAAACACUUGUAGUUCUUAGUUUUUGUCAGCGAUGGCAUGGCUGUUACUAAGCGUUUCCUUCUCUCCCUCAGCUGUGCAGGAAGGAUAAGGCAGCCUCUUUUUCUCAUGGUGUCUUUAGUUGCUCUAAGUUAAAAACCAGCCACUUAGCAACUAGCAAGUUUGCUUCAAUGAUCUUCAGGAUCAAUAAGAAAACUAACCAAAUCGAUCUCCCAAUUUCCUACAGAGAUUUGUUUGUGAAUUUGGUUAUGAUUUAGUGCAUUCUUGGAGAAGGAAGGAUUUCAUGGCAAAAGUGAAAAAGGAAUCACGUUAUCUGGAUGAACUUCCCUAACCCCCCCUCUGCUGCUGAAUAGAUGGAGUGUACGCAAACAACAUCAUUGGUAGUUUUUCAUUUAAACACAAGUUGUCCUUACUAUUGUUAUUUUUUCUGCAGUCCACAUAGAAGUUAUGUGAUUGGUUCCCAAGCAGUAAGGGGAUCCUAAGAACACUUGCCGGGUUCUCCUAUUUGCAAUACUGAGUUUAUAAGUCCUGAAAAUAAUGUUAUUUGGACCUAAUUUACAGAGAUGCAGUAGCUUGCAUGGAAAGUACCCAGCUGGUAGGAGGCCUAUUGGUUUUCUCCAUUCCCUUGAGAAAUAAGGGCCAUGAAUUUCCAUAAAGCAAAUGAGCUUUGAGUUAAUACAGCAGUGAUCAGUAGCAGCUUCCCACUGAGAUGGGAGUGCUGGGUGAGCCAGGGGCAGAAGGGAACAAAUUGUCUCACAGUCAAAGAGAGUCACAGGAAGACAUUGUUAUUUUUCUGUUUUCUGAAAGGACCCCUGUGGAGAGAGGAGCAGGCAGUAGCAGUCAGGUUUACCACCUGCAGAGAUGCAGAAUGUCAGAGAAUCAGCGCAUGGGUUUCUUGGGCUGGACAGGAUAUUGGAGAUUGAGUUCUGACCUACCCUCAAGUCAAAAUGAUGGUGGGGGCAUCAUUUGGAGAAACAAAUGGAAGUGGCCCCCCUGCUGAUCUCAGGCCACAGGCAAAGGUAUGUCUCAAGGUUCCGCUUUGCACCAGGGGUGCCGACCUCCUACACUGAUCAUUACAGGGGGAAACCCACUCCGUAGACUAGAGGAGCAGGUAUGUGUGUGAUGACAAAUAUUCCAGGGAGAUGGGAAAAAUCUCGAAAGCAG